GCCCCAGUAGUUUAAUGCCAAAACACCGGUUUUGUAACUCGGAGAUCGUAGAUUAAAAUUCUUCCUGGCGCA
RNAcentral lists this transfer RNA (72 nucleotides) under Ophichthus rotundus. Its description in RNAcentral is "tRNA-Thr". It matches the Rfam family "tRNA". Rfam says of the family: Transfer RNA (tRNA) molecules are approximately 80 nucleotides in length. Their secondary structure includes four short double-helical elements and three loops (D, anti-codon, and T loops). Lineage: Eukaryota; Metazoa; Chordata; Actinopteri; Anguilliformes; Ophichthidae. The record is from RNAcentral.